This 253-nucleotide ribosomal RNA is filed under the name uncultured prokaryote. Its description in RNAcentral is "partial 16S ribosomal RNA". It matches the Rfam family "Bacterial small subunit ribosomal RNA", at positions 525 to 777 of the family's 1533-position model. The record is from RNAcentral.
ACGGAGGGUGCAAGCGUUAUCCGGAUUCACUGGGUUUAAAGGGUGCGUAGGCGGGCAGGUAAGUCAGUGGUGAAAUCCCCGAGCUUAACUUGGGAACUGCCGUUGAUACUAUCUGUCUUGAAUGUUGUGGAGGUAAGCGGAAUAUGUCAUGUAGCGGUGAAAUGCUUAGAUAUGACAUAGAACACCUAUUGCGAAGGCAGCUUGCUACACAAUUAUUGACGCUGAGGCACGAGAGCGUGGGGAUCAAACAGGA